CCCUUAGAUGUUCUGGGCCGCACGCGUGCUACACUGAGUGGAUCAGCGGGUCAGGUUGCGCGAAAGCGUUUCCUAAUCUUUAAAUCCGCUCGUGAUGGGGAUUGACGGUUGCAAUUUUCUGUCAUGAACGAGGAAUACCUUGUAAGCGCGGGUCAUCAUCCCGCGCUGAAUACGUCCCUGCCCUUUGUACACACCGCCCGUCGCUCCUACCGAUUGAGUGGUCCGGUGAGGCUUGGGAUCUGAGCGGAAAGAGCGUUUCGCUGUUUCUGCUCGGAAAACUCAGUCGAACCUUAUCAUUUAGAGGAAGGAGAAGUCGUAACA
This 321-nucleotide ribosomal RNA is filed under the name uncultured eukaryote. RNAcentral describes it as "partial 18S ribosomal RNA". It matches the Rfam family "Eukaryotic small subunit ribosomal RNA", at positions 1470 to 1796 of the family's 1831-position model. The record is from RNAcentral.